UUCCAUUGUCAUUCAGGGCUGAAUACUGCAUUGCUGUUGACACAUCCCUGGCCUUUAUGCAGCAGAUAGUAGUGGCAGCACCGCCACCGACUGCAACAACCACAAAUAUCUCCAGAUAUUGCCCACAGUUCCCUGGAGAUAAAACCUUCUUCAGAUCUCCCAGUGGAAUGUGAACUAUAAGACAACCUAGAGGAGGGUUGUGCUGCUACACGGAAGAAACCUGGCACCCUGAGUCACUCUGUGAAAUGCUGCUUACUGAUCAGCAACACACGUGGAUAUCUUAUACAAGUAAGAGAGAAACUGUGUAGUGUUAAGAUGACUCAAAUGUAUAGAUUGCUAUUUUACAGCCACUGUUGCCCUAACUAAUCAAACAACUCUUCUAGUUCAACAGUGCUAGGAGCAAGGUGAGUCCUAAAUUGAGAAUAGGUGGAAUAAGCUAAAAUCGACAUAGUGAGCGCUCAAUUGAAACAUUUUUAAAAAGCAUGUCCUUGCUUUUGUGAAUAGUUCCACUAUGAAAAUAUGAGCACAAGUGUCGUUUUGGUAGAACAAUGUAUUUCCCUUUGGAUAUAUAUCUAGUAAUGAGAUUGCUGGGCUGAAUGUUAGUUCUGUUUUGAGAAAUCUCCAACUUGCUGUCUACAGUGGCUUUUGUCUUUUAAA
This 657-nucleotide long non-coding RNA is filed under the name Callithrix jacchus (white-tufted-ear marmoset). Its description in RNAcentral is "lncRNA (ENSCJAG00000070036.1)". The record is from RNAcentral. Lineage: Eukaryota; Metazoa; Chordata; Mammalia; Primates; Cebidae.